GAUGAACGCUGGCGGCGUGCCUAAUACAUGCAAGUCGAGCGAACGGACGAGAAGCUUGCUUCUCUGAUGUUAGCGGCGGACGGGUGAGUAACGCGUGGAUAACCUACCUAUAAGACUGGGAUAACUUCGGGAAACCGGAGCUAAUACCGGAUAAUAUUUUGAACCGCAUGGUUCAAAAGUGAAAGACGGUCUUGCUGUCACUUAUAGAUGGAUCCGCGCUGCAUUAGCUAGUUGGUAAGGUAACGGCUUACCAAGGCAACGAUGCAUAACCGACCUGAGAGGGUGAUCGGCCACACUGGAACUGAGACACGGUCCAGACUCCUACGGGAGGCAGCAGUAGGGAAUCUUCCGCAAUGGGCGAAAGCCUGACGGAGCAACGCCGCGUGAGUGAUGAAGGUCUUCGGAUCGUAAAACUCUGUUAUUAGGGAAGAACAUAUGUGUAAGUAACUGUGCACAUCUUGACGGUACCUAAUCAGAAAGCCACGGCUAACUACGUG
Molecule: ribosomal RNA, 497 nt
Filed under: uncultured bacterium
Lineage: Bacteria
Description: partial 16S ribosomal RNA
Rfam family: Bacterial small subunit ribosomal RNA
Source: RNAcentral